CGGACGGGUGAGUAAUGUCUGGGAAACUGCCUGAUGGAGGGGGAUAACUACUGGAAACGGUAGCUAAUACCGCAUAACGUCGCAAGACCAAAGAGGGGGACCUUCGGGCCUCUUGCCAUCGGAUGUGCCCAGAUGGGAUCAGCUAGUAGGUGGGGUAACGGCUCACCUAGGCGACGAUCCCUAGCUGGUCUGAGAGGAUGACCAGCCACACUGGAACUGAGACACGGUCCAG
This 232-nucleotide ribosomal RNA is filed under the name uncultured bacterium. Its description in RNAcentral is "partial 16S ribosomal RNA". It matches the Rfam family "Bacterial small subunit ribosomal RNA", at positions 99 to 334 of the family's 1533-position model. The record is from RNAcentral.